RNAcentral lists this ribosomal RNA (460 nucleotides) under uncultured bacterium. RNAcentral describes it as "partial 16S ribosomal RNA". It matches the Rfam family "Bacterial small subunit ribosomal RNA", at positions 338 to 795 of the family's 1533-position model. The record is from RNAcentral.
CCUACGGGUGGCAGCAGUGAGGAAUAUUGGUCAAUGGACGCGAGUCUGAACCAGCCACGUAGCGUGAAGGAUGACUGCCCUCGGGGUUGUAAACUUCUUUUAUAAAGGAAUAAAGUGAGGCGCGUGUGCCUUUUUGUGUGUACUUUAUGAAUAAGGAUCGGCUAACUCCGUGCCAGCAGCCGCGGUAAUACGGAGGAUCCGAGCGUUAUCCGGAGUUAUUGGGUUUAAAGGGAGCGUAGAUGGGUUGUUAAGUCAGUUGGGAAAGUUUGCGGCUCAACCGUAAAAUUGCAAUUGAUACUGGCAGCCUUGAGUACAGUUGAGGUAAGCGGAAUUCGUGGUGUAGCGGUGAAAUGCUUAGAUAUCACGAAGAACUCCGAUUGCGAAGGCAGCUUACUAAACUGCCACUGACAUUGAUGCUCGAAAGUGUGGGUAUCAAACAGGAUUAGAUACCCGGGUAGUC